Astatotilapia calliptera (eastern happy) is the source of this 9251-nucleotide long non-coding RNA. The record is from Ensembl. NCBI's taxonomy places the organism in Eukaryota, Metazoa, Chordata, Actinopteri, Cichliformes, Cichlidae.
UUUAGCUUCUUCCUGUCUGCUACUGACACAAACAGCCCUUGCUCAUUUAUUAGCAGCUGUGCAGCCAAUUAUCUCCCUGCCCCCUUUCCUGUGUUCUACCAGCAGCUUCGGCCAUGCACAGGGGAGGAGAGGUAGGGAGGCAAAGGGGGGAGGAGAGGAGAGAGAGAGAGAGAAGGGGAGUGUUCCUCUCCUCUGACAUCGUCAUAAAGGAAUCCCCUCUGCUAGGCUGAGCCCGCCUACUUGCUUACUCUCACCCCGUCUGGCUCCCAGACACACUCGCGUUCACACACACUCCUGUCUGCACGGCCAAAGCAGGAACGGACUGACAAGGAAAAAAGGACAAAGAGUGGGAGACGCGGAGACAUUGCGAGAGAGACGGGAGAUGGGAUGGGGACUGUGAAGGUCAACUUUUAGAGUGUGACAUUGAAGAGCGUGAAGAACAAGAGGGAGAGGAAAAGGAGUAAAAACUGUUGUCUCAGAGGGGCAAUUCAGCAGUUCCUGCAACCUGUUGAUCAGGACGGGACGUUCACACAGAGUCGGAGUAAAAGUCUGCCUGCUGUUCAAAUGUACUGUGUUGUUGGCACUGGAAUAUUGCCCCGUUAUGAGGUCUGCCACUGUGGACCGGCUCCAUUACAAAGGUCAGAUGAAUACAGUGCCAUUGAAUGGGAUGGUUUCAUUCCUCGCUGCCUAACUCGCUUGUUAAUUUAAAGGUUAUGUACCACCCCCCCGUUUGAGUGAUUUCAGGCAUAAUUGUUUCGCCUCCACCUGUUUCCAUACAGCUUUCUGCUUAUACAGUAUGUUUGUCAUCUGUCUGCCCAUGUGUGUCAUCUGCCUGUCGUCAUGUCUGUCAGUCUGUGUGCCUCUCCUUGGGGUGUUGCUGGCAGCACGGAGCGCUAAGUGAGGUCAUAAAAAGCCUGAGAGGCGUAAUGGCAGUGUUGAAGCAAGGCCGGAGCCGCUCAAACAUUCCUCUCAUUGUUCAGGGGCCCCGUAAGUCUGCGAGCUCCCAAACCUCCAUGAAAGGAAGGGAAUCCAGUGGCUACUGUAGCUAACCCACUUUGAGCUGCAUUUCAGGGCUGGCUCUCUGUCUUCCUGUUUGCCGUCCUGUCUGGUGUGUGUGUGUGUGUGUGUGUGUGUGUGUCGGGGGUGUUGGUAUAGACCAAACUGAGUAGCGGAAGGCAAAAAUGGAACUGAAGGAGGUAAAAGUGAGGUUGACCUAAAGAAGAAGGAUAAGAUAAAGUGGUAUUAAUUUAGCCCCGACAGUGGCGUCUAUCACUUUGCUCCGUAUGCGUCUGGCUGUGACUUCAGAUAACCUCCAUGCCAAAUGACAUGGGAAAGAGAAGGCACGGGUCAAAUGUGUUGUUAUUUUGCCUUCUGCUUUGAGAAGGUGGAAAAAUGGGGUGAUGGAUUGAUGGUGAGAAAGGAUGGGAGGAGCAGAAGAAUGUGGGGAUCUAACCCUCAAGCCUUGGCUUUGGUGGGGUGGUUUGAGUGGGUGGGUGUGCCCGGCAGCAAUCUGUAGGAAUGGGCCCAGGCUCAGGAAACCGUGGCGUAGUGGAAUAAAAGUGUGUGUGUGUGUGUGUGUGCAGCUUCAGCAUCCACUUGUGCAUGUGUGGUUCAGUGGCAGCAGGGCAGCUGUACUCUAAGUACAGGGCUGGUGGUGGUGGUAAGGGUGUUUGGCAAUGAAUCAGGCUGAGGAUAGGAUUACACGCACUGGGCUACAGGGAGUGGACCACGGGCUUGGGCUGGGCUCUUCACUGCUGAGGCUAGCUUUACAGCCCAAAGAGACUUUGAGCUUUUCCCUUUAAAAAAAAAAAGGAGUUGGAAAUACUUCUUUUUUACUUCUCAGACUAAUGUCCCACAUGUGGCGCGUUCCAUUGAUUCCAGGCCAGCCAAUGAACGGUCGCCUUUAAUUUGGGAAAACUGCAACAUAGAAGGCCCAUAGUAGAGGCCUGGGCUCUUGUUUGAAUGUCACUAAAUGUCACAGCCUCAGCAAUGAUUACACCCUCGCACGUAACAUGAAACAAAUACAAUCACAUGCGCACACAUACCCAGACAGACCCUGUCUGGUAGAAAGCAAGUUAAGGUGUGGUGCUGCGUUGUGUUUUAGUUGGCGGGCUUUGCCGUUUCGACUGCAGUUUUGUUGAUCCUGUGGUUGAUUUUCUGGCGGAUUAAAAAUGCAGCCUUGAAUCUGGAUAAUUUUUUUUCUUUUGAUGUGUCAGCUGCUCGCUCCUCAUCAUUUAACCGUUUUUAGGCUUUUCCACCUUUUCUUCCCAGGAGUGAGUUUAAUAGGCGCAACAGAGAAGAUAGCAAUUAUGGAAAGCAGACGUGGCAAAUUUACACCGUAAGAAGGGAAUUAACAUGUUACUGUAACAAUUGUGACUUCAUGUCUUGAACUUAUAGCAUUUACAGAGAAAGAUGAAGCUGUGGCUGGAAACAGCUUCAUCUGGCCCCUGUGAAAAUCAGUGGAAACAUAAAUGACUUGUGCUCGGCUUUGAGAAACAAUUCUUAAUGACAUGCACGAGCCUGGGAAUCGUACUGCUCACUGUUUGUUCUGUUAAGCGGUCCACAGCCUGGAGGUGCGAAUGAUGUCAGCUUGGUAUUUUUACUAUUCACAGUUUAUGAGAAAGAGUGAAAACCAGCUUACGCGAACCACACGUUUGCCACUGACAUCACUGUGUUUGCUCAGUGAUAGUGAACAUAUUGCGUGUGUGUGUGGAGAGUUCGGUAGAUUGCGCUUGGCCUGCGGAGCGUGUGUGCAUUUCUGUGCAAUGCGCACACAAGGACACGGGCAAAGAGAAGAUAUGUGUUGAAACAACAAGGGUUUGAGAUCCAGCUGUCCCAGCAGAGGCUUUUCCACUUAACUGUGUGCCCUUGUGUAAACGGCAAUGUCAAUUCUGAACUCGAGCCGACGAUCUGAGAAAACAGCCAGUGGCCACGUCUGCACUUGGGCCGCCAUACGUCGUGUGCAUGAACAAUAAACACACAUACACACCACGAAACCAUCAAAGAACCCACACAUGAGGCCAUAAUCCACGAAGACAUGCUCUCUAAAAACACUUUAAUUUCACUAGAAUACAUCUGCUGGCAGGCGUCACUCGGUGAUGCUCAUUUUCCAACCCUACGCCUCCGUCGAGGUGCAACAAGUUGCCACGGUUGCGAGCUACCAGUAAGAUGCAGCCUAUAUGCCACAUACUUGUUAUUUCUAAUGAUAAUAAACAUCCAGUAUGAGAAGCCAGUAGCAGGAGGGCCGCCUGUAUCCUCCCCCCAAAAAAAACAAAAAAACAAGGCGAAUGUGAGAUCCUCGCAGAGAGUGUUUGAGGUGAGGUGUUGGACAGCGUGCGUCAACCAGAAUGCCGUCAUUACAGGGGAAGGAAUGAGCUCAUGGACAUUAACGGGCUGCGGGUUUGAGUGGGGGGGGGAGCGAGAAACCGAUGGAAACGAUGAAAAGGCAGAGAAAAUAACACACCAGGAUGAAAAGAGAUGGCGGUAUAAAGGGUUUAAGGUUAAAGGCGGGUAGGAGGUAAAGGGAGCAGUUGUCGUGUCUUUGAUGGAUGCCAAGACCUUAAUUUACCUUCUUUCUUGACAGCAUCUUGUUGUGACCGUGUGGAGACCGGCCUAGGCUUUAAAAAGCGCAACUCGUAAAACAGAAAGGAAAUUAAGAAGACGUACAACUGGGAUCUAAAACGGGCCGCACUGGGUACAUUUUUAUGUUGACAUUUUGGUUUUCUGUUAACCGAGCGAUUAAAAAAACUGUCCCGAAGGCAAUGUAAAUGUACACUUUAGUUUACUGUAGAGUCAAAAAAGUUGAUUUUGAAAGUUAGCGAGAACAGACAAUGCUAUUCUGUUUUCUUCCCAGUAGCACCCAAACACUGAACCUCACUUUGGCCUGGUGAAAACUGGAAAGCUUCCACAUGAGAUGCUGCUUUUAGCUCAAAACGAUGCUCACAACUGGGCUGGAAAAAGUUUGCGUUCUAUUUAUGGAAGCUCUGUCUAAACACUAGAUUUGUGAAACAGAGGUGCCCGCUUUAGUGAUAACAUUUCCCGGCCACUGCCCCAAAGAGACAACAGACAGCCAGCUAAAGCUUAUUUAGAGUCUGGAGUUCCCACUGACUCAUACCUUGUACACAGCAAAAUAUUCAAGCUGCUGAAAAUAAGAGCAACUCAAAGGAGGGCGGCAAAAUGAGCGGAUCAGCCGGGAUCUGGAGACUGGAAUGGUGUUCAUUAAAUAAAGUUUAUCCUGUCCAGACAAGUGAAAUUCAACCAAAAGAAAUUCACAGCAUUAUGUUGUGCUCCGGGGCGGGAUGGCUGUGUGUGCUUCUCUUCUUCUCCUUUUUUUUUCUUUUAAGGAAUACGCAGGAUCAGACUUUAUGUUUUCACAAUGUAUAAAAGCAAAGGUUCUCUAUGCAACAUGAAAAUCCCUAACAAUUUCUUAAGAGAUUUUGCUGUAACUUAGCAGCAGAGGAAACAUGCUCCAGUGCUCUUUUUCUCAUUUUGUUUUGUCUUUGGUUUUCCCCUGUUCACAAGGGGCACAGAUAAAGGGUGCAGGGUAAGCGUCUGUUAAAGGCAGUGCCAUUCGAGUGGCCACUUCCUUCUAACCUAAUUCUCCAUUCUGUCAUUGAAAAGCUAUUUUUAUAAGAGGCCACGGGAAGUCUGGGAGUUGACAAGGACCACGUACAGUGCACACAGGGUUGAGAAAAUGCAGUGACUGACCUGCGAAUGACAAACAUGUGACAGAGCCAGACUGCUCUCUAUGUGUAUUGGGGGGGUUAAAGAAGAAGGGAGCUGCUGCUUAAAAAGGUGACAGUGAUGCUCGAGUCUUAUUGUGGUAUUUAUUACUGCGCAUGCUUUGAAGUCUUCUUUCCACCACAGACCGUCCAGCUCUAUCUGUUGGCCAGGGGAAUUCCUGGCAGAGUGAUUUUUUUUAAACUAGAGGACUGAAUCACAUUGCCAGGGAUUUCCAAUGGCUGACACGAAGAAAGCAGCCUCUUCGUCGCACGCGCGCCAAUUUGCCAACUCAUACACAGUCACUCAUUUGCAUACACACAUAGAAACGUCUCCUUUCUGUGUCACAAACAGAUGCCCGUCGAAGCCUGGCUGUGCGGCAGCAGGACUUAACCCACAUGUGAACAGUGAGUGUCUGCCAUGUUCACAGUGGUUAAGUUCUGCCGCCACAGGGCUGCAGCCUGCAGGGGACAAGGGAGAGGAGUAAAGGUCAGGGAGGGGCCGCACUGCAUCAAAAACACCACUCUCCACAUCAACACCAGGCUUCACAUGAGCAUGAUCUCGUCCCAUGACUAUAUCCUCCCAACAAAAAUCUGCUUUUUUAUAUAAAAUGUGGAUCUAGCCGCCUGUUCGAUGAUUUACUUAAGAACCUGUGACCUUCUUUGGCACUUGAACCCAACAACAACAAAGCAAAAAAGAUCUUUAUCUGUCACACCAUCGCCCAUUUUUUUCUGUUAUCUCAUCGCUGCCCUGCUUUCUCAAGCGGUUUAUAGAAACUUGAGCAGCAAACUCAGUGAGUCUAUUUUUCCUUAAAGGAAGCUUUUCAGGAAGUCUGCCACACAAACCCGGCACCCAUCAAAGGAAGUGUCAAAAAAGCCAAUUUCACCUAAAUGACAGCAAAUGCUGUGCCAUACUGCAAAUUUUGGUAUCGAUCCGAUACCAAAAUACAGAGCCAGAAUUAUCAAUGCUGCUACUUUUAACUGAUAAAUGCAGCUUAUGUAGGGGAGUGUGUCAUGACUUAUGAGAUGAAUUACCACAAUAAUCACUCAGUACAACAAAUCAGCGUUUCAUGUGGCUGUCUCUAAAGCACUCUGGAUCAGCUUCUGUCCUUUAAAUGUGCUACGUACUGAACAUAAGGAUAGAAGAGUAUCGGUCCAAUUGUGCUAGUAUCCAUCUGAUACCAACACCAGUAUUGGUAUCGAUACUAUCAAUAUUUGAAUCGAUCCACUGCCCGCUACUAGAAAGCAUCACGUUGCCGGUAACGAGGCAAAUACGUCCUACUCCUCAACAGCCAGAUUGAUCCUUUGACUUUAUUUUUACGAGCUUUCCUGAUCGUUGCUAAAUUGACAACAUGUGUCGGAGGCUGUGUGUGUGCACGCGCGUGCGGGAGUACUCCAUGGAUGACUCAGUAGUGUUACGAGUCGGCACUGUGAUGUGGCUGAGUGGGAUGCAUGGGAACAGGUAUCGCACUCCAUUAUGAGCGAGUGCCUGGCAAAAACAGCUAAUCUGGUGAAUUAGCCGAAAUUGUUCGGUCUCAGUGUGUCAGAGCCUGAUAAAUGUCAGGCGUCUCAUUAGUGUCGAAGGCUGCUCCCGUUCCUGUUGGGCGGGCAAUAUGUCAUCUUGUGUUGUCGGGUGUAUUGCUAGCUGCCAGGCUCUCUCUGGUGUGUGUGUGUGUGUGUGUGUGUGUGUGUGUGUGUGUGUGUGUGUGUGUGUGUGUGUGUGUGUGUGUGUGUGUGUGUGUGUGUGUUAGUUUCACUUCUACCUGUUGAUUUCUGCAUGAGCAUCAGUGUCUGUUUGGCUCGUUGUUGUGUGUCUGUGUUUAUGUGUGUGUGACCACCUCUGUCCCCUCCUCCUCACCCCCCCGCUGGGUCGGUCUCCUGUGCCUGCUGUGCUGAUAAUCAGUGUGUGACGUCGGCUGGCUCAGUUCAGCAGGAACAGGGGACUGUUCUCAUUUCCACACUCUUUCUCUCUCACACACACACAAACACACACACACACUUUAAUGUCAGUUUAAUAACAACAUUAACACCAGCGUGUUUUCUUUAGUUAUGCAGCUCUUUUUCAUGACAUACACAGACCUUUAAAAGCAUAUAACCAUAAAAGCUUAUAAUGUAUUAUAAAUGUUAGAAAUUUUUUAAACUGUAUUUUUAGGGUUUCUUUCUUUGUUUUUUGUACCGUGAUCUAUGAAAAUGAAAAAAUAUAUCAAUUAAUUAAGUCUGUUUAAGUAUAUUUGAAUCUUUUUUGGAAAAAUAAAACUUGUUUUGGAAAAAAAAGAAGACCUGUGCAUUUGUGUUCUGUGACUCAUUCCUUCACCUAUCAAAUAAACCUCUUUAACCUUUGCGUCUCUCACUUGCUCUCCAUCACUUUCUUUGUCUUUCUUAUCUACGCUGAGGUCGCAAGCAGGAAAUCAGAUAUGCGGCAAAUGGCCACCAAUCAGCAGGUAAAAGUUACACCGCGCCUGCUUACGUUCGCCUGUGAAACCAGAGAGCGAAUGAAAUCACUCGGCUCUGGUUUUUUUGUGUGGCGGUGAACUUAAUUUGUAGGCUAUGUUUCUAUUGUGUACAGAAAUUCAUAUUGCUUAAAUCCAAAGAGCUUUCUGUGCCAUUACGCAACAAUAAGCUUUUACUUCCUACGGAUUUCGCACAGUCUGUCACGCUUACCACACAACUGAAAGAUUUGUGACAACAGAGGUGUGUGUGUCUGUGUGUGUCUGUCUGUGUGGGGGGGCAAAAUCAAGAAAUUGACAGGCAGCAGUUUCAACUUUCAAAAUAAAGAAAAAGUGCAAAAUUCAUCACUAUUCUAACUCAAAACUACACUCAUAAUUCAUCAAUCCGUGUCCACAUUAUAAAGAAAACAAGCACUAAUGUGGAGAAGGGGGGGGAAAUGGACAUUUCUACACAAAAACCAUAAAAUAUAUAUAUAUAUAUAUAUAUAUAAACAAUGGUUAUGAGAAGAGGACAAAGGAAAGUCUUACACUGUUUUCCAUUUUUUCAUUUGUGCUUUAGUUAGGAUGUACUUUUUGUUUCCACAGCGACCUGAAAGUGAAAAAAGUACAGUGAGAGCUAUGAGUGUAAAGGUUUCACAUCUCUCUUUUUUUUAACAGUUUAAUCAUCACCCUUACCUCAUUCAUGGACAUGUCAGAAUUCAUUCAUUUAGCUAAAUGCAGUUACACCUCGGUAAUUUUAACAAGAGCCUGUAAGAGAUAUAAAAACCCUCAUGCAUCUUCUCCAUGCAGAGUCCAGGUUUAUUUCGGUGCUGUUAGGCAUUUAUUUGUUGUUGCUCUUUCACACCGUUUUGACCACAUCCUCAGCCCAUAGACAUUUUAUAAAAAUACUUGUAAAAACACCCACCGAAAGCCUACACAAAAAUACAGCAGGAAGUGUGACAAACAUGACUGUAUUGCAGGGUUAAGUUUUUUUUGUACAUUUUUAACUUGAGCUAGCUUUCAACCUUUCCUGAGCUUUGCCUUAAACAAGGUAUAAAAAGUGGUCUUACUAUAAAUGAGCAAAAGGGUGCUUUUAAUAAAGUACUAAAGUAUUGCUAGAGUAUUUUUAUUAAAUAGAAAUCAGUUCACUUCUAUAUCAGUUUCUCUCAAUUUGUACCCCUUUAAUUACUCUUCCACAUUGUUAAAUUUAUUAUUGCUCUCCUAUCAAAUUUCUUUACAAAUUAUACUUUUUUUUAAAUAACAAAAGAGACACUUAACAAAUGUGCAUGAAAAUGUUAACCAGCUAUUAAUAUUAACUUUAUUUAUAUGGCACUUUUCAAAACACGGCGUUACUAUGGGUUAUUUUUCCACGCAGACAUGAAAGAUGUUUCACGGCGGCAGCUUUAGAGAACAUCAAUACUAUUAAACACAAUUUGUAAUCAUUUAGAGCAGGCAUGACAAACUCACUACUUUGAUCUUAAGCGUGUCGGAUCAGUCAAACUCCUAUUUUCUGUCAGUGUAAAGAAACUAAACUACACAACUGUGAGAUGAGGAAAAGAUGUGCAAUUUCAAUAACACGUCUCGGUUUUUGUACAUAAUAGAAAGAUGCUGCUGUUGAAAACAAAAGAAACCUGUGAGCGUGGAUCUUUCUGUAAGAAAUAAAUGUGUAGAGUUACUGAAAAUGGCAUUGCUCAGACUAUCCUGUGAUUAUAAAGUACACAUUUUUAUUUAUGUAUUUUUUGUUUACCACGAACCCAUUCUAAAAACAAACAAACAAAUAACUGGAAAACUGGAACUUUUCUAUCAUUUAAUUGUUUAGCUGUUUAGCUUUAAUUAUGUUUGUGUAACAUGAAUAACCCAAGGUUAGGUAUUUAUCAGUUGAGGAGCUGUAAAAAAAAAAAGAAAGAAAGAAAGAAAAGAAAAGAAAAGAAAAUACAGUUAAAGGACCAAAAGGACCAAAAUUCAUGUCCUCCCUUACAUUUUCCAAAAUGGUCAUUUGGGCCACAAUGGAGUCUUUGCUGGGCCAUUUCUGGCCCCCAGGCCUUAUGUUUGAGUGCAGUAAAUAAGAGCUUAGAAACUACUAAAUGGAACAGUGCACGACUCCCAU